CUUGGCACUAGGCUUACUUGAGAUGCUCUCCCUGCCACUUCUUCGAGGGUCACCGAAGCUCGUCGGAGUUGAAGGGUAUGAUCAUCAAAAGUUUGAGAGUUGCUGGAGUUCACAGAAGUGUCUUAUCAUCAGAAGGGUGAUAGGUAGAUGAGGCUAUCUUUGAGAGCUACAAACAAAGACCAUUCUCCAUUCAGAGUUGUGGAGACAAUAGUGGAAGAAAGGAGCCAAAAGUAGAUCGUGGAUGCACUUUGU
Molecule: long non-coding RNA, 252 nt
Organism: Dioscorea cayenensis subsp. rotundata (Guinea yam)
Lineage: Eukaryota; Viridiplantae; Streptophyta; Magnoliopsida; Dioscoreales; Dioscoreaceae
Exons: 4
Source: RefSeq, a predicted model, not a curated record